RNAcentral lists this ribosomal RNA (252 nucleotides) under uncultured bacterium. RNAcentral describes it as "partial 16S ribosomal RNA". It matches the Rfam family "Bacterial small subunit ribosomal RNA", at positions 524 to 776 of the family's 1533-position model. The record is from RNAcentral.
UACGUAGGGUGCGAGCGUUAAUCGGAAUUACUGGGCGUAAAGCGUGCGCAGGCGGUUCGCUGUGUCCGAUGUGAAAGCCCCGGGCUUAACCUGGGAGUGCAUUGGAAACUGGCGGGCUUGAGUGCGGCAGAGGGGGGUGGAAUUCCGCGUGUAGCAGUGAAAUGCGUAGAGAUGCGGAGGAACACCGAUGGCGAAGGCAGCCCCCUGGGUCGACACUGACGCUCAGGCACGAAAGCGUGGGGAGCAAACAGG